CAAAACGACUCUCGGCAACGGAUAUCUCGGCUCUUGCAUCGAUGAAGAACGUAGCGAAAUGCGAUACGUGGUGUGAAUUGCAGAAUCCCGUGAACCAUCGAGUCUUUGAACGCAAGUUGCGCCCAAGGCCUUUUGGUUGAGGGCACGUCUGCCUGGG
Molecule: ribosomal RNA, 157 nt
Filed under: Garcinia xanthochymus (false mangosteen)
Lineage: Eukaryota; Viridiplantae; Streptophyta; Magnoliopsida; Malpighiales; Clusiaceae
Description: 5.8S ribosomal RNA
Rfam family: 5.8S ribosomal RNA
About the family: 5.8S ribosomal RNA (5.8S rRNA) is a component of the large subunit of the eukaryotic ribosome.
Source: RNAcentral